RNAcentral lists this ribosomal RNA (494 nucleotides) under uncultured bacterium. RNAcentral describes it as "partial 16S ribosomal RNA". It matches the Rfam family "Bacterial small subunit ribosomal RNA", at positions 28 to 507 of the family's 1533-position model. The record is from RNAcentral.
GACGAACGCUGGCGGCGUGCUUAACACAUGCAAGUCGAACGGAAAGGCCUGCUUUCCCUUGUGGAUUGCGGGUACUCGAGUGGCGAACGGGUGAGUAACACGUGAGUGAUCUGCCCCCAACUUGGGUAUAAGCCUGGGAAACUGGGUCUAAUUCCCGAUAGGACUGCAGGGUGGUGCCUGUGGUGGAAAACGAUUUUCUAGUGGUUGGGGAUGAGCUCGCGGCCUAUCAGCUUGUUGGUGGGGUAAUGGCCUACCAAGGCGGCGACGGGUAGCCGGCCUGAGAGGGUGGACGGCCACAUUGGGACUGAGAUACGGCCCAGACUCCUACGGGAGGCAGCAGUGGGGAAUAUUGCACAAUGGGCGGAAGCCUGAUGCAGCGACGCCGCGUGGGGGAUGACGGCCUUCGGGUGGUAAACUCCUUUCGGCCGCGAGGAAGCCACCUGGUUGGAAGGGUGGUGACGGUAGUGGUAGAAGAAGCACCGGCUAACUACGUG